Molecule: small nucleolar RNA, 209 nt
Organism: Cercocebus atys (sooty mangabey)
Lineage: Eukaryota; Metazoa; Chordata; Mammalia; Primates; Cercopithecidae
Gene: U3
Rfam family: Small nucleolar RNA U3
About the family: Small nucleolar RNAs (snoRNAs) are involved in the processing and modification of rRNA in the nucleolus. There are two main classes of snoRNAs: the box C/D class, and the box H/ACA class.
Source: Ensembl
AAUUCUGUGCUUUGAGGAGCCAUUUUCAUAGUUUGUUACUAGAGAAGUUUCUCUGAGCGUGGAGUGUACCAGAAAGCAUGAGGAGGAAGUGCAGUGCUCUUGCCUUAGCUGUGAAAUCCGUUGCCUCAUUGCAACUGCUGUUUUUCAUUGAUGGCCCAUCUUCUCUUCCUUUGGGAGAGAAAAGAAGGGGAGGAUGCAGUCUGAGUGGU